Dreissena polymorpha is the source of this 356-nucleotide long non-coding RNA. RefSeq lists it as uncharacterized. NCBI's taxonomy places the organism in Eukaryota, Metazoa, Mollusca, Bivalvia, Myida, Dreissenidae. The transcript has 3 exons. The record is from RefSeq and is a predicted model, not a curated record.
GUUGUUGAUAAUUAUACUCGUCGUCGGUUUAACUGACUGCCAAGCUGCGUUUCUGACAUGUCUUCAUCCGCGGACAGGAAGUUUAGACUUGUUCGACAACGAGAUAUACAUGUGCGCAGAAGGUAUAGUUGUACCAAAAACGACAACGAUACCAACGACAACCCUUCUUUCGUCGACAACCGACACACCUCAACCAAGCAACGCCAUUCUUCCGCCUUUUUUAAAGCGCAUGUGCGAACUUGGUAAAGAUCUGCCAGAAGGUUACAAGUGUUGUGGUUACAUUCCGUACCAACCGGAUUUUCAAACGUGUUGUGGAAUUACGUGGACGAAAACUGUGGUGCAUUCUGGAAAACCUG